CAGGUCUCCAUGAAACUUAGUUGGAGAGCCAGCGUUCUGGUCUAAUCUUUUAAUUGUGUGGAUGGAAGGUUCAGGCUCAGGCAAGGGAUGGGACUUGCCCAGGUUCAAACAGUGAAUCCAUGACCUACAUAAAACUGGAACCCUGGAUACCUUUAUCUGCAGGGUUCUUCAUUCCCCGGCAGUAUUGUUCACCGAAUUCAUUCGUCUCCUCACUACAUAACUAUUUAUUAAAUGAAUUUCAGGUACUAGACAUCAAAAAGGGACUUAAAAGGGAUGUCUUCAAGUAGUGUUACUCAGUGUCUCUGGGUCUCUAGUCCUGAGAUCCUCAUGUUUUUCAGUCCAGACACAUCAGAACAAAGUCUGCCAGAAGGUGGCCAUGCACCAGUAGCUCCUCAUUUCCUGUUUACCUUUGUGAGUAACAAGAUGUACAUGCACAGAAACAGGCAGUGGGUUCCCGCCAUGUGACAGACCCUGGGACUCCGAGAUGAAGCAAACACAAGCCAUUCUCUCACAGAGCUCACAGUCCAGGAGGAGAGGCCAGUGCAAAUGACACAGCAGAGCAGGAAGAAGUAUGUACUCUCACCCACAAGAUCAAAAGGCCUCAAAAGAUGAGGAAGAUUAAAAACACCAGACUGGGGAUCUGGAGGUGUGGGUUUUAAACCUCAGUUGUGUGACCUUGAGAACUCUAGCAGACCCACCUCAUUUUAAUGUACCUGGCUAUCUACAAAACCUGGUAAGUAAGCUUGUGAUACUUAUGUUUAAAGUAAGAUUCAAUGGUUUCUGAGUUUGUGCCCAGGGAAUGUCCUAUAAGAAGAGAAUAAGAGUGUUAGGGCCUGGACCUAUGGACAUUUGUUUGAGGUGGUUGUAGAUGUAGAUUUACAUGUAGUUGCAAGAAACAAAACGGAGAGAUCCUGCAUGCCCUGGACUCAGUUUUCCCCAAAGGCAACAUCUUGCAUAACGAGAGCAUAACAUCACUACCAAGAAAUUGACAUUGACAUUGAUAUUCAGACUUCACCAGUUUUUUAUGUGUAGAUAUGUGUUUUUAUUCAUUUGUGUAGACUUAUUUAGUUUCUGUGUAGUGUGUCAUAUGUGCAGAUGUGUGUGACAGUCACCACAAUCAAGACAUAGAAAAGCUCCGUCUCUAGGAUCCCCCAUGCUACAAUGUAUAGCCUCUGCUACUACCCUCCUCUUUUAACCUCUGCCCUCCAACUCAGUAAUCAUGUUCUUUCACAAAUGUGAUAUAAAUGGAAUUGUGUGGUCUGUAUACUUCUGAGAUUGGCUUUUUUUUUUUUUUUCCGCUCAGCACCAUUUCUUUGAGGUCGAUCCAAAUCAUUGCAUGAUCAAUGGUUCAUUUCUUUUGAUGGCUGUGUGGUAUUCCAUGGUACGAAUGUAGCAUGGUUUGUUUAGCCAGUCACCCACUGAAGGAAUUUUGGGUUAUUUCCAGGAAUGACUUAUUUAUUAACAAAGCUGAUAUGAAUAUUGGUAUACAGGUUUUUGUGUGAACAUGGCUUAAUUUCAUUUCUGGUAUAAAUGCCCAGAGUGAAAUUGCUGGGUCGUAACGGUAGGCACUUGUUUCAUUUUGUAAGGAACCCUCUUUUCUAGAGUGUUGGUAUCAUUUUGCUUCCCACCAGCAAUGUGUGAAAGAACCAACAUCCUUCUCUGCAUUCUCUCUCCAGCAUUCGGUGUUAUCACUAUUUCUCCUCUUAGCCAUUCUUGUAGGUGUCUGGCGAUAUCUCACUGUGGUUUUACUUUGCAUUUCCCUGACGGCUAACAAUGUCGAACUCAUUUGCCUUCUGAAACCUGUUUGGUGAUACAGACAUCUGUUUUGGAUGCUGAAAUUACUUAUCAUUUCCUUCUUGAUUCUCUCUCAGUGGAUUCCAAGGCAGAAGGUAAAUCGCUUUUAGAUAAAUAAUGAGCUAUUGCACUUGAGUGCCAGCUACGUGCAAGAUAGUGUUCUUGGUACUGGGAAUAAAGCAUUAACAAGAACAGAGAACAAUCCCUGUUGUCAUGGAGCUUAUGUUCUAGUGGAGUGAGAUGGCCACUAAAUAAAAGAAAUGAGUUAAGCGUAUUAGAUGCUCUUGGAGCUUUAGGAAAAAAAAAACAGAAAGGGAGAUAGGCAGUUACUUUAGUUACAGUUUAAUGUAGGGUGGCGAGAAAAACCCAUGCUCCUGGCCUUGAAAAAGCUGUGUGUCAGGAGCAUCAGUGUGGCCAGGAAGACUGGAGUUGUGAGUGAGGAGGAGACCAGGGGCAAUGAGGUCAGAGCAGUAUCAGAGGAGGCUGGCCAUGCGGGGCUCUGAGCAUGGGUAGGAGUUGACUCUCGUUCAGUGUGGUGGGGAAGCUCUGGAAUAUGUAGGGCAGAGGAGUGGCAGGAUUUCAUUUCAUAAAAAUCUUCCUGGCUGCUGUGUCAAGAAUAGCCCAAAGGAAGGGUGGAAUCAGGGAGACCAGUUUGGAAACUAUUGCAAUAAUCCAGGCGAAGCAAGAUGGUAGACUGGCAAAGGUGGUGACAGAGAGGGUAACAAGAAAUCAUGGGUUCCAUAAAUAUUUUGAAGUAGAGAGGACAUAACUUCUCAUCCAGUUGGAUGUAGGGUGAGAGAGAAAGAGAAAAGUCUGGGUCCAUGGUUCUUGGUUGGAGCAUUGGAAGAAUUGAGAUGCUAUUAGUGGAGAUAGGAAAGGAAGCUUGAGAGCUCAGAUCAAGAUGUGCACCAUUUAAGGUGACUUUUAGACAACCAAGCAAAGGUGAAAUUAUGAGGAGGCAGUGGAUGAUAAGUCUGAGGUCCCAGUCAGAGGCUUGGGUGGAAAAUUAAUUUGAGAAUCUUUCUUGACAGAGCAACUCUCACAUAUUACUCUAUAUUGGAGAUUCCUCUUGAUUACAGGUCCUUAAUUUCUUAAUUUAAAAUCUUUGGUGCCAGGUUUUGGAAAAGCAUUAAGUUUAGCGAUAUGAAAUCACCAUUAUCUGACAGCUUUGACCUACAAUAAUAAUAAUUUCAUAUGGUUCACCUGAAUAAUACCCUCCACAUGCCUUAUAUUACAUAACAUUCUCAGUGGGGGUUUGAAACAGUGUCCUAUAAUCAAACAGAAACAUUUCUGUAGCCCAGUACACUCAUGCUGAGUGGGAUAGGUAAGGACAACACACACACACACACACACACACACACACACGCCCUUCCAAUUCAGCUUUUGUUGCCAAGUGCAUUAUAUUUGGACUGUGCAGCAUGCCGAGUUGAAAUAGGCCAAUGAGCAGAAGAUACUGAGAGGGAUAUUUCAACUCAACUUAAUGACUAUAUCAAUGCUAUUCCAUGACUAAUCACACAUGUUUCUAAAGGUGGGAGCUGUCUGUCCCAUGAGUGCACACGGGACCUGAACAACCACUUAUUGGGGAUAUUUUAGAGGAAAUUCGGUUACUAGAGAGAUUGUUAGAGCUGGUGUCUUUUACAGCUCUUGGUCUCACUGAGAUGAAAAUGACUAUAAAUCAUUUCUAGCUUCAUGCCUCAUUCUUCCCAUCUGUGAAAUGGGAUGGGACCACGGAGCUGAACUUCGUGAUUGCCGAGGAUGCUUCUGGUGUUGUUUUAAGGUUUCUAUGCUUCUUUGCCUCUUCUCUUUGUCACUGGUUGUUCCCUCCACCCUUGUUUGUAGAGUAACCCUCUUUCCAGACCGAGCCAUAGCAAUUUUACCAGGAUGUGCAGUGAAUAAUUAGCAUGGGCAGCUGGAUGGGGAGGCAGACGUUUUCCCUGUUGCUUCCCAAAUUGGGAAAAAUGGUUAUUUUUGGGGGGGAUUACUUCUUGUCAUGUAAGCGUGUUUUGACUUAUGCAACACCCAUGGUGUCGAUGGUGGCAUGGCCUCCCCUUUCUGGUUCUCUUGGGAGAUGAGCUCUUUGAUGAAAGAAAUUUUCAGUGACUGACACACAGCCUUCUAAGGGACAACCUAAAAAAAAUGCAACUGUUUUGAAUGGAAACCUUUCUAAUAUAAUUUACAGCUAUAAAACAGUUUUUUUUUUCUGAUUAUAAAAGUAACAUAUUUUGGCUCUAGGAACAAAAGAGAAAAAAGGGAGGAAAACAAUUAUCCACACUCCCUAAACUGGGGGUUGGCAGACCUUUUCUCUAAAGGGUCAGAUGGUGAUUAUUUUAGAAUUUAUGAACCGAGGAGCAAAACUGGAGUUAUCAUAUAGAUGUUUAUAUCAUAUAGAUGUUUAUACAACCAUUUGAAAAUAGGAAACCAUUCUUUUUUUUCCCUUUUAAUGUUUAUUUAUUCUUGACAGAGAGAGAGAGAGAGAGAGAGAGAAUGAGUGGGGGAGGGUCAGAGAGAGGGAGACAGAAUCUGAAGCAGGCUCCAGGCUCUGAGCUGUCAGCACAGAGCCCCAACUGUGAGAUCAUGACCUGAGGCAAGGUUGGAUGCUCAACUGACUGAGCCACCCAGGUGCCCCAAAAUAGGAAACCAUUCUUAGUGUGCAGGCCAUACGAAAGCAGGGCUGGCUGGAUUUAGACUGUGGGCAGUAGUUUUCUGACCCCUGGUCUAAACUGUCUCGAAACUGGACCUUUAACAAGAGGAUUUUUUUCCAAAUUAAUUUUUUUUAUGCUUUUCUUUCUUUUCUUUCUAGCUUUUAAGCAAGACAUUACUUUAUAUUUUCAUUUUUGUGCAUCUCACUGAAUAGCAGCAUUCCAGAAAGAAAAUUGUUCAGGGCUGCAUAGACCUUCUCUCAAAUGGAAGUACUAUAGUUCAUUUGAACAACUCCCACUUCAAGUGCAUUUGGAUUGUUUCUUAUUAAUUUAUAAAUAAAACAUAGUUCUUUUGUU
Long non-coding RNA from Felis catus (domestic cat), 4790 nucleotides. RefSeq lists it as uncharacterized. The record is from RefSeq and is a predicted model, not a curated record. Lineage: Eukaryota; Metazoa; Chordata; Mammalia; Carnivora; Felidae. The transcript is spliced from 2 exons.